CACAUUCAUCAUAGAUUAUACUGACUUCACACACAGUGGAGAAUACAUCUGCACAGCCUGGAAUAGUGUCACAAAGAGAAACGCCACACAAAAACAUGCUUUACUAGUUAAAGGAGGAGGAGGAGGAGGAGGAGGGCUGUCAUCAGGGGCGAUAGCUGGGAUUGUCAUUGGGGUUUUAGUGGCAGUUGCAGGCAUUUGUGGUCUGACUGUCUAUUUAAUAAAAACUAAGAAAAUCUCAAAAAUAAACCUUCGACAAAAUGGACCGGCAAGAGGAGCAGCACAAAGCAGACAGGAGCCUGACUUGAACUAUGCAGACAUUAGCCAUUUCCAGAAGGCUAGUGGAGAGAGAGUGAAUCUGGGGAAUAAGAGUGAAUUUAGUACAGAGUAUGCAGAUGUAAAACAUGGAGGGAAGUCAAGGGCUCCUCCACCUCCCUAUGGAAGUCAGGUGCGGAAGUGAAGACACUGAAACACUGAAACCUACUGCACUGAGUCUUCCUGCAUAUUGCACAUUUUACAUGUGUUGUGUUAUUUCUUUAAUUUAGUUUGAUUUCACUGGAUGUUGUUGUGUAAGUGAAAUUAACUUUUAUUAUGGUUUUGAAUUCAAGAUGGCUUGAUAGGCUGUGCAAUUUUUCUGUUUUCACGAUUAAGAUGGAGAGACAGGGGAGGUUUGUAACACUGCUCAGUUUAUUUUGACUUUUUAUCAAAUUUUUCAACAUUUAUCUGAUACAAAUCGAUGUUGUUUUGAAAUCUACAACUUCUCUUGAAAUCUCUCUAUUGUGUAAAAUAAUGUCAAGUACAAAAAGCCCUGUUUUUACAACAUAAUCACCUACCGGUGUGUGUUUUAACAGUAGAUUAACAAUAGAGAACAUUGAUGUUUUACAUUUUGUAUAUGCAUUUGUUUGAUAUUACAAUG
Long non-coding RNA from Sinocyclocheilus grahami, 913 nucleotides. RefSeq lists it as uncharacterized. The record is from RefSeq and is a predicted model, not a curated record. The transcript has 6 exons. NCBI's taxonomy places the organism in Eukaryota, Metazoa, Chordata, Actinopteri, Cypriniformes, Cyprinidae.